Molecule: ribosomal RNA, 253 nt
Filed under: uncultured bacterium
Lineage: Bacteria
Description: partial 16S ribosomal RNA
Rfam family: Bacterial small subunit ribosomal RNA
Source: RNAcentral
UACGUAGGUGGCAAGCGUUGUCCGGAAUUAUUGGGCGUAAAGCGCGCGCAGGUGGUUCUUUAAGUCUGAUGUGAAAGCCCACGGCUCAACCGUGGAGGGUCAUUGGAAACUGGGGAACUUGAGUGCAGAAGAGGAAAGUGGAAUUCCAAGUGUAGCGGUGAAAUGCGUAGAGAUUUGGGGGAACACCAGUGGCGAAGGCGACUUUCUGGUCUGUAACUGACACUGAGGCGCGAAAGCGUGGGGAGCAAACAGG